AUACGCUGACAAUCGCUGCCGACUAGAGCGGUAGAGGAAAGUCCAUGCUCGCAUGAUCUGAGAUGAUCAUAGUGUUUGUGCUAGUUGAAUCAAUAAGACUAGGCAGGAGUGAUCCUGAUGGCUGAAGCAAGUCCUAAGGGAAACUAUGGAGGAGCUCUUUAAAAGUGCCACAGUGACGGAGUCCUAUUGGAAACAGUAGGAGUGGAACGAGGUAAACCCCACAAGCGAGAAACUCAAAUUUUGGUAGAGGAACUUCUAAGUCCGAAAUGAAGGAUAAGGGAGACACGUAAGUGUAGAUAAAUGGUUGUCGCUAUUUUAUAUAGUUACAGAACAUGGCUUAUAACG
This 345-nucleotide RNase P RNA is filed under the name Erysipelotrichaceae bacterium. RNAcentral describes it as "RNase P RNA component class B". It matches the Rfam family "Bacterial RNase P class B". From Rfam's summary of the family: Ribonuclease P (RNase P) is a ubiquitous endoribonuclease, found in archaea, bacteria and eukarya as well as chloroplasts and mitochondria. Its best characterised activity is the generation of mature 5'-ends of tRNAs by cleaving the 5'-leader elements of precursor-tRNAs. Lineage: Bacteria; Bacillati; Bacillota; Erysipelotrichia; Erysipelotrichales; Erysipelotrichaceae. The record is from RNAcentral.